GCCCCCGUAGUCUAGUCUGGAUAGGACAGAGGCUUGCGGAGCCUCAAACCCGGGUUCAAAUCCCGGCGGGGGCG
Molecule: transfer RNA, 74 nt
Filed under: Candidatus Woesearchaeota archaeon
Lineage: Archaea; Nanobdellati; Candidatus Woesearchaeota
Description: tRNA-Arg
Rfam family: tRNA
About the family: Transfer RNA (tRNA) molecules are approximately 80 nucleotides in length. Their secondary structure includes four short double-helical elements and three loops (D, anti-codon, and T loops). Further hydrogen bonds mediate the characteristic L-shaped molecular structure. tRNAs have two regions of fundamental functional importance: the anti-codon, which is responsible for specific mRNA codon recognition, and the 3' end, to which the tRNAs corresponding amino acid is attached (by aminoacyl-tRNA synthetases). tRNAs cope with the degeneracy of the genetic code in two manners: having more than one tRNA (with a specific anti-codon) for a particular amino acid; and 'wobble' base-pairing, i.e. permitting non-standard base-pairing at the 3rd anti-codon position.
Source: RNAcentral